UACGGAGGGUGCAAGCGUUAUCCGGAUUCACUGGGUUUAAAGGGUGCGUAGGCGGGCAGAUAAGUCAGUGGUGAAAUCUCUGGGCUUAACCCAGAAACUGCCGUUGAUACUAUUUGUCUUGAAUAUCAUGGAGGUAAGCGGAAUAUGUCAUGUAGCGGUGAAAUGCUUAGAUAUGACAUAGAACACCGAUAGCGAAGGCAGCUUACUACAUGUUAAUUGACGCUGAGGCACGAAAGCGUGGGGAGCAAACAGG
This 253-nucleotide ribosomal RNA is filed under the name uncultured bacterium. RNAcentral's name for it is "partial 16S ribosomal RNA". It matches the Rfam family "Bacterial small subunit ribosomal RNA", at positions 524 to 776 of the family's 1533-position model. The record is from RNAcentral.